RNAcentral lists this unclassified non-coding RNA (435 nucleotides) under Hevea brasiliensis (rubber tree). Lineage: Eukaryota; Viridiplantae; Streptophyta; Magnoliopsida; Malpighiales; Euphorbiaceae. The record is from RNAcentral.
GUCCACUGCCUUUGAGCACCAAAGGGCAUUGCAGAUACAUGAAAUCUUGCAACCGUGGUAGGAAACAUGUCCACAGCUUCUUGCUUCUUAUCAUCUUGAGGCUAAUGCAUAACAGCAUUGUAAUAUAAAAAUUUUCAUUUGGAUUGGACCAACUUAAGGUUUGAACAAAUGAUUUGGUCCCACUCAUGGUGAAGACUUCUUCAGUGAUCUUACAAAGUUGGAAUAAAUGGGCUACAAUGACAACUAUUCUUGCCUUGAGCAUUUACUAAUUUGAGGAGGUUCUCUUGCACUUCUACAAGUGAGUUGCUUUGUUAGAUGCUGACGAGGGGAGACUAUUUCUUUUGUCCUCAUUAGUGGCCUUAAGGACAUGAUACAGUUUGAACUGCACUCAUCCAAACCAAAUUUAUCUCUAGUUGACUAAAAUUAGUCAAAAUU